Non-coding RNA from Phrynosoma platyrhinos (Desert horned lizard), 71 nucleotides. The record is from the annotation of a GenBank genome assembly. NCBI's taxonomy places the organism in Eukaryota, Metazoa, Chordata, Lepidosauria, Squamata, Phrynosomatidae.
GACAGUGUGGUGCUGUGGUUUGAGCCUCAGACUAACACUCUGGAGACCCAGGUUCGAUUCCUACUCGGCCA